AAUAGAUACCCCGGUAGUCCACCCCGUAAACGUUGGGAACUAGUUGUGGGGUCCUUUCCACGGAUUCCGUGACGCAGCUAACGCAUUAAGUUCCCCGCCUGGGGAGUACGGCCGCAAGGCUAAAACUCAAAGGAAUUGACGGGGACCCGCACAAGCGGCGGAGCAUGCGGAUUAAUUCGAUGCAACGCGAAGAACCUUACCAAGGCUUGACAUACACCAGAACACCCUAGAAAUAGGGGACUCUUUGGACACUGGUGAACAGGUGGUGCAUGGUUGUCGUCAGCUCGUGUCGUGAGAUGUUGGGUUAAGUCCCGCAACGAGCGCAACCCUCGUUCUAUGUUGCCAGCACAUAAUGGUGGGAACUCAUGGGAUACUGCCGGGGUCAACUCGGAGGAAGGUGGGGAUGACGUCAAAUCAUCAUGCCCCUUAUGUCUUGGGCUUCACGCAUGCUACAAUGGCCGGUACAAAGGGCUGCAAUACCGUGAGGUGGAGCGAAUCCCAAAAACGCCGGUCCCAGUUCGGAUUGAGGUCUGCAACUCGACCUCA
This 546-nucleotide ribosomal RNA is filed under the name uncultured bacterium. RNAcentral describes it as "bacterial SSU rRNA". It matches the Rfam family "Bacterial small subunit ribosomal RNA", at positions 777 to 1320 of the family's 1533-position model. The record is from RNAcentral.